This is a non-coding RNA of Podarcis muralis (Common wall lizard), 4122 nucleotides long. The record is from RefSeq and is a predicted model, not a curated record. NCBI's taxonomy places the organism in Eukaryota, Metazoa, Chordata, Lepidosauria, Squamata, Lacertidae.
UCUCAGAUAUCUGCUCCUCAAGAGAGAUUAUAUUCCACAUGGAUUGGAGGCUCCAUCUUGGCUUCACUGGACACAUUUAAGAAAAUGUGGGUUUCGAAGAAAGAAUAUGAGGAAGAUAGUUCCCGGGCAAUCCAUCGAAAAACCUUCUAGCCUGGCAGCAUGCUGGGGUCUCCUUGGAGCGUCAUUCCUAUUCUCGGCUCACUUUCCUGAGUCAGUGUCUGAGGAGCUCCCCACUGGUGUGUAUGUGUAAGGGUAGAUGAGUGCCAGCAUGCCCUGGACUUUCCCGAGGGAAGGGAAGGCUGGGGUUUCGGCUUGACUUUUGAUUGGUUUUGCAGGGGGCAAGUGAGAAAUUGGAAUGAACCUGUGGGCAAGCUCUGUUCCCUUUUCAGCUGGCCCACAGACUUUGUUUUGGGGGUGGGGAGGGGAGUGCAUUUGUGUCGCAGAAGAUGGCAAGUAUGGCUGUGGAGCUGAGCAACUUAGGAUGAAAAUGAGAGUGCGGCAAAGCGGCCAGUGCAUAGGGCUCCCAGUGACUGGUGGAAGAACAUGGGCCACGUUGAAGGUCCAUCAUGGAACUCUAGCACAGCAACUGACUGCGAUCCAGUUCCUCUCAGUUGCUCAGCAGUCGUUUUUUAGAUGGCCAAUUCAUCGCCUCCCCCCUCUACUUUUAGAAUUCUCUUGCACACAAAAGAGGAUAAGCACAUUCCAAGCUGUUACAAACCCAUUUACGGCGGGGUGUGUGUGUGUGAGAGUGUGUGUGUGAGAGAGAGAGAAUCUGUAGUAUGGUGUGUGAGAAUCUGGACCACAACAGGAUGGUUGGAACAGUUAAUUUUAGGAACUAGUUUGUAAUGCAUGGUGUAGAGCAGAAAGACCCUUCCCUUUUUACGCUAGACAGUCCUUGCAUUGGCAUCUGGGGAUGAGACCGUUGUCUGUCAUGCAGCCAAGUGCCCAGGGCCACUCUGCACUGUGGCCUCAUUCUCUUUUCCUUCUGCCAAGCCCCUCCCCUGCCUCAUGUGUGUUCUCACGGUUUACAGUGUUCAUUCUUUCCGAAAGGCCGAGGCUUUAUGCCCACGUCACAAUCCCCGCACAAAGGGGCUAUUCAGCCACGCUUGCUGGGAAGCCCCGUAAUUGCUCUUAGAAUUUAUUUAUUGAAAGCUUUUGGUGGUAACUGAUCUACUAACUGGGCCCAACGUUAGUUUCCCCCAUUUUUAUCUGUCCUACUAUCUACUACACGUCCUGUUUUAACAUGUGCACCAGCACUGGGAAUACCAUACUUGCUUAGUAGCGUUGGGUCAGUCCUGCAACUAUCCCCGCUCCUUAGAGUACCCUGUUAAUUUUGGAGUGGCUGUUUCCAUGAAUGCACCGCAGGAUGAAACAACAAACUCUGCUAGAACACUAGGAGUUGAGUAAGAGGCCUCCAGAGGGAGGCUGUCAUCCCAGAGUUAAUUGUUAAGUCCUUUGACUGCUUCAGUACUGCUACAGAAAUGGAAAAAUCAUCUGCUUUGAAUCGAAUUUUUUAUUCUUUUUUUAAAAUAUACGCAUUUGGUGCUUCUCAUUGUAAAGGGUUAUUUUUGUUGUUUUAAUGCUGCUGCUGAAAACCAAAUAUUUCACAUUCUUGGCCACUUAAGUGUUAGAAGAUGAGACAGCAGGAAACAAUCAUUUUUGUCUCUCUGUAGGCAACUGUUGGAAGAGAAACUUCAAUAGGAAGCGAGAGUGCAGGGACUCAAGAAAUCCAAGGUGGAGGCAAAGUAUUGUCCUGUUUGUUACCACUGAUUGAUUUUGAAUGUGGACCCCUUGUGCUUUAGCUGCAAACUUCAGCUUUGCCCUUCAACUCAUCAGCUUUCUCAGAAAAUGUCAUGAGGAUUAGAAUAGGCCAUUUAGUUUGUUAGGAGCAGCCAGAGUCCCUUCAGUGCUCGAAGCUGCAGUUGUUGUCUGGCCUAAGGUAAGGGAUGGGGACAUCUCAUAACCUCUCCUACACAAUAGAUAGGUAGUUAAAAUGCAAAUUUUGUGUAUUAUGCAACACACACACACACACACACACACACACACCCAGUGUUAAAAAAUCUUCCAAAUAAAAAUGUGAGGUGAUAACUGUGACAGUAUAAGCUUUCCUUGUCCUUCAGUCCCUUCCUAAGACCUUAGGAAGAGUAGCUGAAUUGGAAGUUUUAGGCUUCUCUAUUAGGAUAACAGGCUUACACUUGGAAAGAAAGUGGAUGUAUAUCUGAGCUAAGCAAGAGCUGAGCCACAUCUACCUUUCCUCCAUUCUUUCCAGGACACCCUUCUUCUUCUUUUUGCACCAGUGCUUUCCCUGGGAAAACCUGCUCUUUAGCAACCUGAGUUUGUUUGCUCCGAUUGAGCACUAAAGAGCAGGUUUCUGCAGGGAAAGCUACAGGGUAAAAACCCAAACAGCCAGACACAGAGCUUUUUAAGUUCAGACCUGUGCCUGGAAAGAGUGGGACAAAAGGCAAGUGUGGAUAAUCCCCAAGAGAAGUUGUAGCUGGUGUUUCAAAGACAGACAUAUGCUAAUUAAAGGUGUUUCCCCUCCUGCACCUGCAAAGAGGAUGUGCUUGGGCAGAGCAGUGCCAUUGGUGGGCCCUGAUUAGGAUCUCAGCAGUAUUCUCUUCUCUUUAGUUCCAAGUAACAUGGCCCAUAGGUGAUGUAUCAUGAAGCUUCUCCAAGCAGGAGUGGACAAGACUGCCCAGACAGCAAAUGCUGGGGCAAUGUACAUUUUUGCAGCACGUGAGGACAUAGCCACUGAAAGCUAGCACAGAGCCAUAUUACAAUAUUACAAUGAUCUACUAUAGGUUUUAUCAUCUCAGAUAUCCCUCUUAAGACACAUGCAUGGCCAGGAGACGCCUCUCUCCCCUACUUAAAGCCAGGGCUGGGCACCUGCGGCCUUCCAGAUGUUGCUGACCUUCCAUCAGGCCCUGCCAGCAUGGCCAAGGAUUAAGGAUAACGAGACUUAUCCAGUAACAUCUGGAGGGCCAAAGGUUUUCCUUCUCUGCUCCAGACAGUAGCAGUUGUGUUAAUACAUCUUCACUGAACCAAGCCCUGUAGGUUUUUCAAUUGGAGUAAAAUGACUUUUCUCCUAGAAUGAGCCUAGCAGCUAAUGGUUUUGAAUGGAGUCCAGAUCCUGUUUUAAUAAGCUACACCCGAAUGUAAAGGUUUGCUGCAUCCCUGAGUGAGGCCUUGAAACCGGUCUUCUCUGGCACUUCCUAUUCAACUUAGUUGCUUGGGUUUUCAGCCUGGGUUCAAGCAAACAUGCUUUUGCUAUCGGGGAGAUGAAGCUUGAGCAGCAAGUAGAUCUGAAUGUGAUUGCUAACAGAUUCCUUGCUUUGACACUUCAUGCUCACUUGGUGGCAGCUGCAUAAAGCUUGUUGGGGUGUUUUGACCAACACAGAGAGGAGUUCUUAGUGGUGAUUUCAGUGGAAUAGAUACCAAAGGGGUUGUCCUGACUAUUAGCUUCUCCACUGGCAAGAUGUACAUCCAUUAGGGUAGCCCGAGAUUUUUAUGGGAGGGUCUACAAAACUUAUAAUCUUCUACCAUAGGUAAAAGAGAAGGGCCCAUAUUUCUUGCCUUAUACUAGAAGAAUGUCAUUGUGUUUGACCUGCCUGAUGUCUAAAAUACCUGCAUACUCAGUUCAGGCUCUUCUAUAAAGGCCUUGAUUCUCACAGUUUCCACCAGGAGUAGAGCUUUUACCCCCCCCCCAAUAACUGUUUGAAAACAUGUUUUGUGUUAAUGAAAUGUCUAAUUUCAAAUAUAGGGAAACAGUAAUAAUGACAGCCAGUGCAUGUCAGCUUCUACUGGUAGACGUGACAGAGCAACCCCUAGGUUAGUGUAAUAGUCUGUUUCAGGCACUACAUAGGGGAGGAGAGAGAAUCCUAGAACUGUAGAGUUGGAAGGAACCCUGUGGGUCAUAAGCCCCCUCCUCUCUGGUCCUUUGUGUUUUUUCCUUGUUUUUCCGCAUCAGUUAUCUGAAGCAGCAGUGUUACACAAUGAACAAACUGACAGGUGCUUCCUACAAUCUAGCAUUGGUUCCAUCAGGCUGACACUGUACUUUGCACAGAUGUGUGAACCACUGCUGGGUGCCGCCCAAUGUACUUAAAUAAAGUUGUUAAUAUACAA